This 1083-nucleotide long non-coding RNA is filed under the name Ursus maritimus (polar bear). RNAcentral's name for it is "lncRNA (ENSUMAG00000000943.1)". The record is from RNAcentral. Lineage: Eukaryota; Metazoa; Chordata; Mammalia; Carnivora; Ursidae.
CGAAGAUGUGUGCAUGGGCCUUGACUCAGUUUACCUACACACCAUAUGGUCCUGCUCACAUGCUCUUCAGUUUACUCAUCUGUACAGUGAGAUUGGAUUGAAUGAGAUCAAGUAUUUGAAAGCAUUUUUAAGUUUUUAAAAGCUAAAAAAAAAUGUAAGAAAUGGCAGUCAUUCUUUUGGUGUUCUCUCUCUUUUUGCAUCUCAUAGGCUGGGCCCAUGGUAUGGAAGGUAUUCAAAAAGUCCUUGUUGGUUAGUUAUUUGGAAUGAAAGUCCAGAAAAUGCUAAAGAAUGCCUAAGGAGACAAACAACAGUGACAGAUGCCGGAAGAUGUAUAAUGAUGGGUCUACAUCGGUCAUGGCAAUCUCAGCUCCCUUGGCCACUGAUCAAUCUGAAGAUGGGAAGGUGCCCCACGGUGUCCAAAGAGAUGCGAGGAUGAAUUGGCUGAGCAAGACUCACAAGGAGAAGGGCUUCUGCCCCUUGCCCAUUUUUCCUGAAUGUCUACGUGUUGCAGAAGCUACAGUGGUCGUCUUGGGACCGAGAGAUGACAAGCAUGAGAAGAGAACCAAAGUGGCAAGGAUGUUAAGGCAGAAAUACAGAAAGAACCUGGAUCUCCUAAGGCAUGGCUGAAAUUCAUACCUUGAACUGCCUACCUUGACUUGUUCUUACGUGAGAAAAAUAUACUCUUGUUUAUUGAAACCACUGUAAUUCACUUGUUGUUACUUGCGGAUACACUCUUAACUGAUACAACCUACUACAGUCCUGUGCUGUUGGUGGCGUAGGUCAUGUUGACCCCACGUGAUAGAUGGAGACCCCGAGGCUCGGGUAAAUGAAGGUGACCUACAGUGGCAGAGCUUAGACUGCAGCUCAGGUUCCCUGCUUGUAAGUCCUUGGUAUUCUCCAAUGACCUAUAGCUUCGCCCUUCUAAUUAAACCUUCCUACUAAUCUAUAGAUUCUUCUGUUUUCCCUUCUAUUAAGGAAGAAGGAAUUGGUAAGUCCCUAUCUGUUCCGAGCUUUCCUUGUACCUCUGCUGUCAGCCACCUGGCUUCUGAUUGUCAUUAUUCAUUAUUUAAGUGAUUAAUUCUG